This 465-nucleotide ribosomal RNA is filed under the name uncultured bacterium. RNAcentral's name for it is "partial 16S ribosomal RNA". It matches the Rfam family "Bacterial small subunit ribosomal RNA", at positions 28 to 507 of the family's 1533-position model. The record is from RNAcentral.
GACGAACGCUGGCGGCGUGCUUAACACAUGCAAGUCGAACGGAAAGGCCCCUUUGGGGGUACUCGAGUGGAGAACGGGUGAGUAACACGUGAGUAACCUGCCCUUGACUUCGGGAUAACUUCAGGAAACUGGGGCUAAUACCGGAUAGGAAUCCUUGCUGCAUGGUGGGGGUUGGAAAGCUUCGGCGGUUUUGGAUGGACUCGCGGCUUAUCAGCUUGGUGGUGGGGUAGUGGCUUACCAAGGCUUUGACGGGUAGCCGGCCUGAGAGGGCGACCGGCCACAUUGGGACUGAGAUACGGCCCAGACUCCUACGGGAGGCAGCAGUGGGGAAUAUUGCACAAUGGGCGGAAGCCUGAUGCAGCAACGCCGCGUGCGGGAUGACGGCCUUCGGGUUGUAAACCGCUUUCAGCAGGGGCGAAGCUUGUGGUGACGGUACCUGCAGAAGAAGCACCGGCUAACUACGUG